AUUGCGAAUGCGAUGCGAAACGAGAUACUUGGAUCUGAUUGAUGUCAUGGAUAUUAUUCUUGGAUUAUGUCUGCUCGCAGAACCAGGGGAAUUUAAUUUCGUCGGUUCAGGCGUCAAUCGAACUGUUGUACCAUGUCGGCUAUAGUCUUCGAUUUCUCCAACUGGCCGUUCAAUCUCAUCCUCCAUAUUGGUCCUCCAUUUGUUCUGCAAUUUCAAAUAAGUAGAUUAUUCAAGCGUCGAUCAGCUAAACACCGAAGCCUCCAUCUUUUACCUGAAUGAUCUUCAAAAAUUCCUCACGAAACUCUUUGCUGCAGGAGAAAUAUAUGAAAACGUGAACAGCGAAAUUUGAAAGCUCCGUGACAGCUGCGAACGCGCGAAACAGAUGGUAACCAGUAUCCAGGGUCUCGUAAUUAUCAUACAAAAACGGGAGAACGAUCGACGGUAUCAUAGUCACUACAAAGCACGUCACUAUGACCGACAUUAGUGUAGCAAGACGCAAGAAGGAUCAUUCUGAGGGGUUUAAAGUUUCCAAGGUCGAUCGAAGGUCAACCGAAACUCGUCCCAAGUUUUUUCAAUAUCGGAUCUUCCUUCGAGCUAUCCGUGGAAGGGAUUUAAGGCUGCCGUGUGUUAAGUGAGAUAUAAUGGAGGGUGCACUCAACUAGAGCAAACAAGAGUUUCGAAUUUCACACCACUCGAAAGCCCGCCCCUCUGCCAGCUACGCUCAGUCCGGCUGGCUGACUAUAUAGCUACCUGUAGCCACGGUUGCGAGUCAGCAACGAUGUGUCGGGAAGAUUCGCGGUGCGGUACUUGUCAGAGACUGAUUGGAACUCCCUUUUCUUUCUGUUCAGAUGCAAGAAUCUCUUGACGACCGCGGUGUUCAGCAGAAGGAGGAUCAUGGUCGGGCAAAGCCGAGUCACGAUCUCCAUGAUCCAUAUGUACGCGUGCCACAGAGGAUGCCUCGUGAAGGAAACGUUCUCGCGCAACGUGAACCGAAUACCGGCGCCAUCCGGCUGUUCGUGGACCGUUCUCGUUCCAGUUAGCGGAGCACUGAUCUACGGAGUGACGUUAAUUGCGUUUAGAAUAACGAUUUCAUCGGUGAUUAUCAGCAUCGUCUUCUUAACCGUUCGAGUGCCACCGAUCGAAAUUGUUCUCUUCUGUUACGUAUAAAAAUUCUAGAUGGUUCCAG
Non-coding RNA from Nomia melanderi (Alkali bee), 1186 nucleotides. The record is from RefSeq and is a predicted model, not a curated record. NCBI's taxonomy places the organism in Eukaryota, Metazoa, Arthropoda, Insecta, Hymenoptera, Halictidae.